RNAcentral lists this ribosomal RNA (274 nucleotides) under uncultured bacterium. RNAcentral's name for it is "partial 16S ribosomal RNA". It matches the Rfam family "Bacterial small subunit ribosomal RNA", at positions 523 to 796 of the family's 1533-position model. The record is from RNAcentral.
AUACGGAGGGGGUUAGCGUUGUUCGGAAUUACUGGGCGUAAAGCGCACGUAGGCGGACUGGAAAGUUGGGGGUGAAAUCCCGGGGCUCAACCCCGGAACUGCCUCCAAAACUUCCAAUCUAGAGAUCGAGAGAGGUGAGUGGAAUUCCAAGUGUAGAGGUGAAAUUCGUAGAUAUUUGGAGGAACACCAGUGGCGAAGGCGGCUCACUGGCUCGAUACUGACGCUGAGGUGCGAAAGCGUGGGGAGCAAACAGGAUUAGAUACCCCAGUAGUCC